RNAcentral lists this ribosomal RNA (376 nucleotides) under uncultured organism. Its description in RNAcentral is "partial 16S ribosomal RNA". It matches the Rfam family "Bacterial small subunit ribosomal RNA", at positions 527 to 897 of the family's 1533-position model. The record is from RNAcentral.
GUAGGUGGCAAGCGUUGUCCGGGAAUUAUUGGGGCGUAAAGCGCGCGCAGGCGGUUCUUUAAGUCUGAUGUAAAAGCCCACGGGCUCAACCGUGGAGGGUCAUUGGAAACUGGAGAACUUGAGUACAGAAGAGGAAAGCGGAAUUCCACGUGUAGCGGUGAAAUGCGUAGAGAUGUGGAGGAACACCAGUGGCGAAGGCGGCUUUCUGGUCUGUAACUGACGCUGAGGCGCGAAAGCGUGGGGAGCAAACAGGAUUAGAUACCCUGGUAGUCCACGCCGUAAACGAUGAGUGCUAAGUGUUAGGGGGUUUCCGCCCCUUAGUGCUGCAGCUAACGCAUUAAGCACUCCGCCUGGGGAGUACGGCCGCAAAGGCUGA